This 275-nucleotide ribosomal RNA is filed under the name uncultured bacterium. RNAcentral describes it as "partial 16S ribosomal RNA". It matches the Rfam family "Bacterial small subunit ribosomal RNA", at positions 338 to 605 of the family's 1533-position model. The record is from RNAcentral.
CCUACGGGGGGCUGCAGCUAAGAAUCUUCCGCAAUGGGGGCAACCCUGACGGAGCGAUGCCGCGUGAUCGAAGAAGGUCGAGAGAUUGUAAAGAUCUUUUCUGGGUGAGGAAUAAGUGUGGUAGGAAAUGACUGCAUGAUGACGUUAACCCAGGAAUAAGCCCCGGCCAAUUACGUGCCAGCAGCCGCGGUAACACGUAAGGGGCGAGCGUUGUUCGGAAUUAUUGGGCGUAAAGGGCGUGCAGGCGGUCAUGUAAGUCUGUUGUGAAAUCCCGG